Molecule: ribosomal RNA, 562 nt
Filed under: Ragnhildiana pseudotithoniae
Lineage: Eukaryota; Fungi; Ascomycota; Dothideomycetes; Mycosphaerellales; Mycosphaerellaceae
Description: eukaryotic LSU rRNA
Rfam family: Eukaryotic large subunit ribosomal RNA
Source: RNAcentral
GCAUAUCAAUAAGCGGAGGAAAAGAAACCAACAGGGAUUGCCCUAGUAACGGCGAGUGAAGCGGCAACAGCUCAAAUUUGAAAUCUGGCGCAAGCCCGAGUUGUAAUUUGUAGAGGAUGCUUCUGGCCAGCGGCCGUUCUAAGUUCCUUGGAACAGGACGUCAUAGAGGGUGAGAAUCCCGUAUGUGACCGGCGCGCAGCCUUUACGUAGCUCCUUCGACGAGUCGAGUUGUUUGGGAAUGCAGCUCUAAAUGGGAGGUAAAUUUCUUCUAAAGCUAAAUACCGGCCAGAGACCGAUAGCGCACAAGUAGAGUGAUCGAAAGAUGAAAAGCACUUUGGAAAGAGAGUUAAAAAGCACGUGAAAUUGUUGAAAGGGAAGCGCUUGCAACCAGACUUCGUAGCGAUGUUCCGCCGGUCUUCUGACCGGUCUACUCAUCGUCGCGAGGCCAACAUCGUCUGGGGCCGCCGGAUAAGACCUAAGGAAUGUAGCUUCCCUCGGGAAGUGUUAUAGCCUUUGGUGAUGCGGCGCGUCUCGGGCGAGGUCCGCGYUUCGGCCAAAKGGA